Molecule: long non-coding RNA, 3323 nt
Organism: Ostrea edulis (European flat oyster)
Lineage: Eukaryota; Metazoa; Mollusca; Bivalvia; Ostreida; Ostreidae
Exons: 7
Source: RefSeq, a predicted model, not a curated record
CUCUAAGAAGCAGAAGACACUUGCUGUGAAAACGGAAAUGGAUGUUGAAUUCUGAAGAAAAGCUUAUUUUAGUGAUCUUUGCAGAAUGUUGUCCACUAAGCUAAUGAUGGGGAUUGUAGCACUACCCUGCACACAGACAUGGAAUUGAUCUGCCUAGUCCAUUAUCAGAAGAGUGACCAGGACUGUUCCUCCCAUCAGAGAAGUUUCUUGAGAAGCAUUACAAGGGACUUGUCUGAAUGGGCAGAAGAAAUGUUUUAACUGACUAUCCCAUCAUUGUCAGCUGUUGGAGACUGAACAAUUUACUGAAAUCAGUCCUGGGGUGUAGCAGUCAGUGGGUGUCCUCAUUUGUCCCAAGAAGAGUCAGAGAAGUAUUCAUUUUUACUGUAAAAAGUUUAGUUCAUGUAAAGAGCAUGAAGGCAGAUUUUACAGUUAUCUCCCUUAGACUAUGUAAAUUAUAAUACAGCACUUGCUAAUGAUGUUAUUUUACAUAUUAAAUGUUGUUUGAAUUUUUGUCAAUUUGGUUGGUAGUCAAAGACAUGAGUUAUAGCUGCCUGUAUUGUACCUGUUUACCUACAGAAUUAAACAUAGAUUACAUGCACCUGACUCUCCAGGACAUGUUAUAUACCUGUCUGUCUUUAGAUGGGACGUAUUAUGGUACAGCAAUGUCUGCAUGUCCGUCUGUAGAUGGAACAUAUUAUGGUACAACAAUGUCUGUAUGUCUAUCUUUAGAUGGGAUGUAUUAUGGUACGGUAAUGUCUGUAUGUCCGUCUGUAGAUGGGACAUAUUAUGAUACAGUAAUGUCUGUAUGUCCGUCUGUAGAUGGGACAUAUUGUGAUACAGUAAUGUAUGUAUGUCUGUCUGUAGAUGGGACAUAUUAUGGUACAGCAAUGUCUGUAUGUCUGUCUGUAGAUGAGACAUACCAUAGUACAACAAUAUAUCUAUGUCUGUCUGUACUCUGUAGAUGGGAAGUAUUAUGAUACAGCAAUGUCUGUAUGUCUGUCUGUAGAUGGGACGUAUUAUGGUACAACAAUAUCUGUAUGUCUGUCUGUAGAUGGGACGUAUUAUGAUACAACAAUGUCUGUAUGUCUGUCUGUAGAUGGGAUGUAUUAUGGUACAAAAAUGUCUGUCUGUAGAUGGGCAGUGUUAUGGUACAGAAAUGCCUGUACAUCCGUCUGUAGAUAGAUUGUAUUAUGGUACAGCAAUAUCUCCAUAUACGUCUGUAGAUGGGGUGUAUUAUGGAACAAUGUCUGUAGGUGGGACGUAUUAUGGUAUAUUAAUGUAUGUCUGUCUGUAGACGGGCCAUAUCAUGGUACAUCAAUGUCUGUAAGUCCGUUUGUCGGUGGGACGUAUCACUGUACAGUAAUGUAUGUCUGUCUGUCUGUCUGUCUUAAGAUGGGAUGCAUUGUCCAUCAUCGGUGGCCUCGUGGCUAGCCUGUCAGACUCUUGACCAAAAGGUCGUGGGUUCGAAUCCUGACCUCGGCAGAGCCGACGUUGUGUCCCUGGGAAAGGCAAUUUACAUGAAUUUCCUCACUCCACCCAAGUGUAAAAGGGGUACCUGGCUAUAGACAGUGAAAGAUAUUGUUAGAAUGUUAGUGCUUUAGCGCCUGUAACGACAGCUGGCACUGUAUGCUUCACAGGAAGCUGAGAAAGUUCUAGGUUGAUAUAAGAUCUGCCGGGGUGAUAAUGUAUUGUGAAGCGGUUUUAGCAGCUGGAAAAAGCGCUAUGUUAUGUAAUUUGAGUGUGUGAGUUUUGAGUGCUAGUGAGCAUGUAGAGUGUGAAUGGUUUUGUUUGUGUCCUUUCUGUGUGAAUGAAGUUAUUUCUUGUUUGUGUUUCUUUUCCAUAUGUCAAUGUUCAGUUUGAAAAUGAGGAGUUUUUCCUAUCUCGAGUCAAAAUUAUGACAACCGAUAAGACCAGUGAGUCUCUUGUUUAGAUUGAUUGAUUGUAUCUUGCUUAACAUCUCGCUCGAGAAUUGUUCACUCAUAUGGAGACGUCACCAAGACUGAUAAAGGGCUUCAAAUUUAGGACUAUGCUCGGUGCCAAUGGCCAUUGAGCAGUAAGGGUUCUUUAGCAUGCCACACCUACUGUGACACGAGACAUCUGUUUUUAAGGUAAUCUCCGAGGACCUGUGACAUUCACACCUGAUGGUUUGGCGAUGGAACUGUCACUACCUAUUUUAAUGACUUAGGUCUGUCACAGUCGGGAUUCGAACCCCGGCCCUCCGCAUGCUGGCCGAACGCUCUUAACUUCUCGGCCACCGCGACAAAAUUCUUGGGGAUCUUAAUUUGCUGAAACUUUCAUUUACAUGUACUAGUACCUGUCUGAUUUCUGGCCAUUCCAGCACUCAUUCUCAGUUUGGUUUUUCAGCUCCCUGGGCCUCAUGAGAUUGUGACACCGUGCAGUAGGAGCAGUUUCUACUGGUAUCUCUUAAAAGCAGACAGAGAUUUCUUAUCAUCUGAUCCAUUUCUGGAGACAAACUUUUGUAUGGAGCUGGGUAGCAGUUACUUGAGAUGUCCGGCUGAUGGAUGAAGAUAAUUUCCCUGAGACUCUAACAUUUUGUAGAACUUGGAUAGCUCUAUUCAGUAUUGCUGUAGAAAAUGUCAGGUUUGGACGGUGGAGAUUUAGAUAAGUGGUGUGAUGUUAUUGAUGGUCAACAGAAGACUGACCUUGAAUCUGAAGACCUGUGAUGAAGACUGGACGUUUGGGGUCACUCUCUGUUACAGUACUACAAAUCUAACAGUGAGCCACUCAGCCACAAAGAGGUUGUCUCUGAUGUCCACACAUAAACUGUAUGGAUAGUCUAAACCACAGUGAAUGUAACGGAGGAACUGUCCGUCCUGAUCUAGGAUGUGGAUACGGUUAUUGUCAUAGUCUGCUGUCAGGAUGUGACUCUGGCUGUCUGUAGUGAUGCCGCGUGGAUUAAAUGAUUGCUUGGUAUUAGAGGGAUGACCAGUGUAUCUAAAUCGGAGUUUUCCUGACUGAUUGACCACCACUACUGCACUAGCUUCACAGUCAGUCACACAGAUAUCCAGGUUCUUGUUCUCACUGAGGUAUUUAUAACCACCAGAUGAGUAGAGAGGACGACCCUGAUCAUCAAACUGAAUGCUUUGUUUCUCUGUGGAGCCGGAGUAACGCACGACUUUGGAUUGUUUUCUAUCAUCACUGACCAUGGUAACCAGGAGGUCGUUACCCGCGGUACAGCAGACAUAGAGAGGUCUCCACCCCUGUAGUGUGAUCACGAAUGAGUUGAGUGGAAUAAUGAACCUCCAGAUGUCUAUGUACACGUGUAUGAAUAAACUGUUGUACUCGCGCGUGCGAGCUUAUCC